UAGGGAAUCUUCCACAAUGGGCGCAAGCCUGAUGGAGCAACACCGCGUGAGUGAAGAAGGGUUUCGGCUCGUAAAGCUCUGUUGUUGAAGAAGAACGUGCAUGAGAGUAACUGUUCAUGCAGUGACGGUAUUCAACCAGAAAGUCACGGCUAACUACGUGCCAGCAGCCGCGGUAAUACGUAGGUGGCAAGCGUUAUCCGGAUUUAUUGGGCGUAAAGAGAGUGCAGGCGGUUUCUUAAGUCUGAUGUGAAAGCCUUCGGCUCAACCGAAGAAGUGCAUCGGAAACUGGGAGACUUGAGUACAGAAGAGGGCAGUGGAACUCCAUGUGUAGCGGUGGAAUGCGUAGAUAUAUGGAAGAACACCAGUGGCGAAGGCGGCUGCCUGGUCUGUAACUGACGCUGAGACUCAAAAGCAUGGGUAGCGAACAGGAUUAGAUACCCUGGUAGUCCAUGCCGUAAACGAUGAGUGCUAGGUGUUGGAGGGUUUCCGCCCUUCAGUGCCGGAGCUAACGCAUUAAGCACUCCGCCUGGGGAGUACGACCGCAAGGUU
This 549-nucleotide ribosomal RNA is filed under the name uncultured bacterium. RNAcentral's name for it is "bacterial SSU rRNA". It matches the Rfam family "Bacterial small subunit ribosomal RNA", at positions 355 to 895 of the family's 1533-position model. The record is from RNAcentral.